UACGUAGGGUGCGAGCGUUUAAUCGGAAUUACUGGGCGUAAAGCGUGCGCAGGCGGUGAUGUAAGACAGAUGUGAAAUCCCCGGGCUCAACCUGGGAACUGCAUUUGUGACUGCAUCGCUGGAGUGCGGCAGAGGGGGAUGGAAUUCCGCGUGUAGCAGUGAAAUGCGUAGAUAUGCGGAGGAACACCGAUGGCGAAGGCAAUCCCCUGGGCCUGCACUGACGCUCAUGCACAAAGCGUGGGGAGCAACAGG
Molecule: ribosomal RNA, 252 nt
Filed under: uncultured bacterium
Lineage: Bacteria
Description: partial 16S ribosomal RNA
Rfam family: Bacterial small subunit ribosomal RNA
Source: RNAcentral